GUUCACGUCCAUGCCACCCUGAACAAGCCCAAUGUCUGAUCUCAGAAGCUUAGCAGGGUCGGGCCUGGUUAGUACUUAGAUGGGAGACCACCUAGGAAGACCAGAUACUGUAGAUU
Molecule: ribosomal RNA, 116 nt
Filed under: Pteropus alecto (black flying fox)
Lineage: Eukaryota; Metazoa; Chordata; Mammalia; Chiroptera; Pteropodidae
Source: RNAcentral